GGCUUUGUGUGGUGGUAGUAUCCUAGUUCAUGAGGUUAAGCUAAGGGGUGAUUAUUGUUAAUUGAAGACUUUUCCCAAUACCCUUUGGGCUUGAAAUACAGUCUGUUAAUAAUUUUUGUCAGCUUUCUUUAGAG
This 134-nucleotide small nuclear RNA is filed under the name Sphenodon punctatus (tuatara). Its description in RNAcentral is "U4 spliceosomal RNA (ENSSPUG00000009772.1)". It matches the Rfam family "U4 spliceosomal RNA". Rfam says of the family: U4 small nuclear RNA (U4 snRNA) is a component of the major U2-dependent spliceosome. The record is from Rfam by way of RNAcentral. Lineage: Eukaryota; Metazoa; Chordata; Lepidosauria; Sphenodontia; Sphenodontidae.